GUUGUAUGGUUAAGUGACUAAGCGUACACGGUGGAUGCCUUGGCAGUUGGAGGCGAUGAAGGACGUACUAACUUGCGAUAAGCCUAGUUGAGCCAGUAAGAGGCACUUGAGACUAGGAUUUCCGAAUGGGGAAACCCGGCCCUUUGGGUCAUCAUGCAGUGAAUACAUAGCUGUAUGAAGCGAACGCGGAGAACUGAAACAUCUAAGUACCCGUAGGAAAAGAAAUCAACCGAGAUUCCGAAAGUAGCGGCGAGCGAAAUCGGAUUAGCCCUUAAGCUUUAAUGUAGUUAGUGGAACAUUCUGGAAAGUAUGACGAUACAGGGUGACAGUCCCGUACACGACAACUUAUUUAAAGUGAAAUCGAGUAGGUCGGAGCACGUGAAACUUUGACUGAAUAUGGGGGGACCAUCCUCCAAGGCUAAAUACUCCCAACUGACCGAUAGUGAACCAGUACCGUGAGGGAAAGGCGAAAAGAACCCCUGUGAGGGGAGUGAAAUAGAACCUGAAACCGUGUACGUACAAGCAGUAGGAGCCCAUCACUAAGUUACUUUGGUGAACUCCUAAGUAAGCACAAUGUUUGAAUUAGCGUUAACGUCGACCUAACUUGUUAGCCGACGGUCAACCGCCAAAAUCAAGCAGAGGUAGCUUAGUGAUGGGUGACUGCGUACCUUUUGUAUAAUGGGUCAGCGACUUAUAUUCUGUAGCAAGGUUAACCAUUUAGGGGAGCCGUAGCGAAAGCGAGUCUUAACUGGGCGCUUAAGUUGCAGGGUAUAGACCCGAAACCCGGUGAUCUAGCCAUGGGCAGGUUGAAGGUCAGGUAACACUGACUGGAGGACCGAACCCACUAACGUUGAAAAGUUAGGGGAUGACCUGUGGCUAGGAGUGAAAGGCUAAUCAAACCGGGAGAUAGCUGGUUCUCCCCGAAAUCUAUUUAGGUAGAGCCUCGGACGAAUACUUACGGGGGUAGAGCACUGUUAAGGCUAGGGGGUCAUCCCGACUUACCAACCCUUUGCAAACUCCGAAUACCGUAAAGUACUAUCCGGGAGACACACGGUGGGUGCUAACGUCCAUCGUGGAGAGGGAAACAACCCAGACCGUCAGCUAAGGUCCCAAAGUGUAUGUUAAGUGGGAAACGAUGUGGGAAGGCUAAAACAGCUAGGAGGUUGGCUUAGAAGCAGCCAUCCUUUAAAGAAAGCGUAAUAGCUCACUAGUCGAGUCGGCCUGCGCGGAAGAUGUAACGGGGCUAAACAUACCACCGAAGCUACGGCUGCGAACUUAGUUCGCGGGGUAGGGGAGCGUUCUGUAAGUGGCUGAAGGUGUGCCGGGAGGCAUGCUGGACAUAUCAGAAGUGCGAAUGCUGACAUGAGUAACGAUAAUGCGGGUGAAAAACCCGCACGCCGGAAGACCAAGGGUUCCUAUCCCAUGUUAAUCAGGGUAGGGUGAGUCGACCCCUAAGGCGAGGCUGAAGAGCGUAGUCGAUGGGAAACGGGUUAAUAUUCCCGUACUUGGUAUAAAUGCGAUGGGGGGACGGAGCAGGCUAGGCAAGCAUGGCGUUGGUUGUCCAUGUGAAAGGCUGUAGGCUGGUGACUUAGGAAAAUCCGGGUCGCUAAGGCUGAGAGUCGAGACGAGCCACUACGGUGGUGAAGUUGUUGAUGCCCUACUUCCAGGAAAAGCCUCUAAGCUUCAGUUUAUAUCGAAUCGUACCCUAAACCGACACAGGUGGUCAGGUAGAGAAUACUAAGGCGCUUGAGAGAACUCGGGUGAAGGAACUAGGCAAAAUUGUACCGUAACUUCGGGAGAAGGUACGCUCUUACUUGUGAAGACUUCGCGUCGUAAGCAGGCGAGAGCCGCAGUGACCAGGUGGCUGGGACUGUUUAUUAAAAACACAGCACUGUGCAAAAUCGUAAGAUGACGUAUACGGUGUGACACCUGCCCGGUGCCGGAAGGUUAAUUGAUGGGGUUAGCUUAGGCGAAGCUCUUGAUCGAAGCCCCGGUAAACGGCGGCCGUAACUAUAACGGUCCUAAGGUAGCGAAAUUCCUUGUCGGGUAAGUUCCGACCUGCACGAAUGGUGUAACCAUGGCCACGCUGUCUCCACCCGAGACUCAGUGAAAUUGAAAUCGCAGUGAAGAUGCUGUGUACCCGCGGCUAGACGGAAAGACCCCGUGAACCUUUACUACAGCUUGGCACUGAACAUUGACCCUACAUGUGUAGGAUAGGUGGGAGGCUUUGAAGCGCAGUCGCUAGAUUGCGUGGAGCCGUCCUUGAAAUACCACCCUUGUAGUGUUGAUGUUCUAACUUAGGCCCCUAAUCGGGGUUGAGGACAGUGCCUGGUGGGUAGUUUGACUGGGGCGGUCUCCUCCCAAAGAGUAACGGAGGAGCACGAAGGUUGGCUAAGUACGGUCGGACAUCGUACGGUUAGUGUAAUGGUAGAAGCCAGCUUAACUGCGAGACAGACACGUCGAGCAGGUACGAAAGUAGGUCAUAGUGAUCCGGUGGUUCUGAAUGGAAGGGCCAUCGCUCAACGGAUAAAAGGUACUCCGGGGAUAACAGGCUGAUACCGCCCAAGAGUUCAUAUCGACGGCGGUGUUUGGCACCUCGAUGUCGGCUCAUCACAUCCUGGGGCUGAAGUCGGUCCCAAGGGUAUGGCUGUUCGCCAUUUAAAGUGGUACGCGAGCUGGGUUUAGAACGUCGUGAGACAGUUCGGUCCCUAUCUGCCGUGGGCGUUUGAGAAUUGAGAGGGGCUGCUCCUAGUACGAGAGGACCGGAGUGGACGAACCGCUGGUGUUCGGGUUGUCAUGCCAAUGGCAUUGCCCGGUAGCUACGUUCGGAAUCGAUAACCGCUGAAAGCAUCUAAGCGGGAAGCGAGCCUCGAGAUGAGUUCUCACUUUGACUUUAAGUUAACUGAAGGGCCGUUGAAGACUACAACGUUGAUAGGCGAGAUGUGGAAGUGGUGUGAGCCAUUGAGCUAACUCGUACUAAUUACCCGUGAGGCUUAACCAUACAACGCCAAAGUGGUUU
This 3019-nucleotide ribosomal RNA is filed under the name Pseudoalteromonas rubra. RNAcentral describes it as "23S ribosomal RNA". It matches the Rfam family "Bacterial large subunit ribosomal RNA". The record is from RNAcentral. Lineage: Bacteria; Pseudomonadati; Pseudomonadota; Gammaproteobacteria; Alteromonadales; Pseudoalteromonadaceae.